ACGUUGGUGGUGAAACGGUUAUCAUCCUUGCCUUCCACUCAAUGAGUCACGUGAGCAAGGGGCGGGGGUUCGACUCCCUCCCAACGUA
Molecule: transfer RNA, 88 nt
Filed under: Ceratobasidium sp. 428
Lineage: Eukaryota; Fungi; Basidiomycota; Agaricomycetes; Cantharellales; Ceratobasidiaceae
Description: tRNA-Gly
Rfam family: tRNA
About the family: Transfer RNA (tRNA) molecules are approximately 80 nucleotides in length. Their secondary structure includes four short double-helical elements and three loops (D, anti-codon, and T loops). Further hydrogen bonds mediate the characteristic L-shaped molecular structure. tRNAs have two regions of fundamental functional importance: the anti-codon, which is responsible for specific mRNA codon recognition, and the 3' end, to which the tRNAs corresponding amino acid is attached (by aminoacyl-tRNA synthetases). tRNAs cope with the degeneracy of the genetic code in two manners: having more than one tRNA (with a specific anti-codon) for a particular amino acid; and 'wobble' base-pairing, i.e. permitting non-standard base-pairing at the 3rd anti-codon position.
Source: RNAcentral